UACAUGUGGGCAAGCGUUGUUCGGUAAUCGACUAGGGCAUAAAGGGUGCGUAGGCGGUGGUGCACGUCCUGGGUGAAAUCCUUCGGCCCAACCGGAGGUCUGCCUGGGAUACGGCACUACUUGAGUGCGUGAGGGGUGACUGGAACGCGUGCGUAGCGGUGAAAUGCGUAGAUAUCACGCGGAAGGCCAACGGCGAAGGCAAGUCACUGGUACGCAACUGACGCUGAGUGCACGAAAGC
Molecule: ribosomal RNA, 239 nt
Filed under: uncultured bacterium
Lineage: Bacteria
Description: partial 16S ribosomal RNA
Rfam family: Bacterial small subunit ribosomal RNA
Source: RNAcentral